AGAAAAAAAAUGGAAGUAUUACAAAAAAAAAAAGAAAGUAUUGGAUUUGGAAUGCACUACUGUUCCCUAGUCCAAAUAUGGUUUUUUUUUUCUUUUCUUUUUUUUUUUUGAAAUCUUUUUAUAUUUUUUAUUUUUUAUUUUUUCGGUCUGGUCUAUGGAGGAAAAAGAGGAAGAAGAGUAGUGUAUUUAUCCUUGUUUGUUGUUUCUUGUUUAUUGUGACAAAAGAAAUCAACGUGAUUGAUAGUUGAAGAUUAAUAAUCUAUAUAUAUAUAUAUGUAUAUAUA
This 284-nucleotide non-coding RNA is filed under the name Amorphochlora amoebiformis. Lineage: Eukaryota; Cercozoa; Chlorarachniophyceae. The record is from RNAcentral.